RNAcentral lists this ribosomal RNA (485 nucleotides) under uncultured bacterium. RNAcentral's name for it is "partial 16S ribosomal RNA". It matches the Rfam family "Bacterial small subunit ribosomal RNA", at positions 29 to 523 of the family's 1533-position model. The record is from RNAcentral.
AGUGAACGCUGGCGGCGUGCUUAACACAUGCAAGUCGAACGAGAACGGAAUAUAGCUUGCUAUAUUUGUCAGCUAAGUGGCGCACGGGUGAGUAAUGUAUAGAUAACCUGCCCUUAAGAAAGGAAUAACAGUUGGCAACGACUGCUAAUGCCCUAUAUGCCUUUAAUACAUAAGUAUGCAAGGGAAACGCUUUAGUGCUUAAGGAUGCGUCUGUAUGGUAUCAGCUUGUUGGUGAGGUAAUGGCUCACCAAGGCUAUGACGCCUAACUGGUUUGAGAGGAUGAUCAGUCACACUGGAACUGAGACACGGUCCAGACUCCUACGGGAGGCAGCAGUGGGGAAUAUUGCACAAUGGACGAAAGCCUGAUGCAGCAACGCCGCGUGGAGGAUGACACAUUUCGGUGCGUAAACUCCUUUUAUAUAGGAAGAUAAUGACGGUACUAUAUGAAUAAGCACCGGCUAACUCCGUGCCAGCAGCCGCCGUAA